AUGCUUCCCCAGGUGUCCUCACGCUCUGGGACCCAUGCCCUCCGGCCUGUGCCGCUUAGCUGGCACCUGCAGGGCCGCAUUUAUUUUGGGGAGGGGCGGCCGGUGGUUCCCUCCCAGCAGCUGCCUUCUCUCUCCACCUGCUCUGCCCCGCUUCGCCCUUUGGUCCCCUGCGGGUGGGAGCUGGUGCUCCCCACUGCUUGGGCUCCUGGCCCCCUAGCUGACUGUCCUGGGUGGCGGCUUCCCCACGUGGGCGGCGGGCCUAGCGCUCCCGCCGCACUCCCUGCCCGGGCACCUCCCUGGCGCCCUCCUCCGCUUGGCUGGGCCCGGUCUUCCACCUUCCGAGCCCGCAGCCACGGUGAGUCUGGUCUGUCCUGUUUUGAAGGGAGGAGGCUGCCACACGACGAGGCCUGCCCACCUUGGUCGGCUGCCCUCGUCUCCUCUCCGACUUCUGGAGAGCGGCCUUCCGGGGCGCCUGCACCUCACCUGCCCUCCCAGCUCCCUGCCUUGCCAAGGUCACCUGAGAUGGCCAUUGCUCGAAACCAGGGACGGCUGUCAGGCCGUGGGAGUGGGCCUCGUGGCCGCAGGGCAGCUGCCCGCUGCACACCCUCCCCCCUCUCCAGCUCACCUCCCACAGCACUGACCCCUCAUUACCUUCUUCCCGGGGUCACAGGGAGGAACAAGGACCAGCCCGGGCCCUGCAGGGCUGGGAGCCUGCGGGCAGGGGGAAUUCAGAGGAAGGGGGACAGGUGCCCCCAGUCAGGGAGCAGCCCCAGAGGUGGGCAGAGCACACCCCGCGAGGGCAGCAGGGAUCCUAGGUCUAGAGGUCAGAGCGGGUCCGGGAGGUCAUGCUGGGUCUGGGGGCGCUGCUGCCACCCCAGGCCAGCGUGUCCCCACCGGGCUCACCCCCCCCCCCCUUCACUCUGUUCCGUUCUGUUAUUUCCAUUUUGGGCAAAAGACACAAGCGUCCACCCAGCUGCUGGCACCAGCAGCCUUAGUCACGCCACUGCUCACUCCCGGUUACUCACCGGCCCUGGAUCCUGGGGAUUCCGGGCUCGGCCCCCACCCCGCUGCUGGCCGCCUGAGCGGCCCUCCUUUCCCGCUGGGGGCUUCUCACAGCCUCUACCUGCUUGGCCUGCUGUCUCAGCCUCCCUCCGCCCAAAGCAUUCUUCAGCCUCAAGCCGCAGGAUCUUUCCAGCAAGCACGCCUGACCAGCCGCUCCGUUCCUGGAAUCCUUCAACGUCUUCCUGUCACAGGCUGGACCCUUUGGUGUCCCCUCCCAUCUAUCCCCAGCACCGGCCCCCCAUCUCAUCACCCGUCGUGCUGCUCCCUCCUCACCUGUGUCCCAAGCCUGUGGCUCUGCACCAAAUAGUCUCCUUCCCUUCUUGCAGAGGGGGUGCUACUCAAGCUCAAGAACACCACCUCCUCCAGGAAGCCCUCCUGACCUCCCUUCCUCCCUUCUCAGAGCCCUCCUCCAUCCCUCACACUCCACUAUUACCUUUCGUCACUCAAUACAUCUCCUACUGGGAGUCCCAGUGCCUCUUCUUCUGUACCCUGAUCCCCGGUAGGAUGUCUGGCACAUAA
Molecule: long non-coding RNA, 1581 nt
Organism: Vulpes vulpes (red fox)
Lineage: Eukaryota; Metazoa; Chordata; Mammalia; Carnivora; Canidae
Source: Ensembl